Molecule: ribosomal RNA, 446 nt
Filed under: uncultured organism
Description: partial 16S ribosomal RNA
Rfam family: Bacterial small subunit ribosomal RNA
Source: RNAcentral
CACUCCUGCGGGAGGCAGCAGUGGGGAAUAUUGGACAAUGGGCGCAAGCCUGAUCCAGCCAAGCCGCGUGAGUGAUGAAGGCCCUAGGGUUGUAAAGCUCUUUCACCGGUGAAGAUAAUGACGGUAACCGGAGAAGAAGCCCCGGCUAACUUCGUGCCAGCAGCCGCGGUAAUACGAAGGGGGCUAGCGUUGUUCGGAUUUACUGGGCGUAAAGCGCACGUAGGCGGACUAUUAAGUCAGGGGUGAAAUCCCGGGGCUCAACCCCGGAACUGCCUUUGAUACUGGUAGUCUUGAGUUCGAGAGAGGUGAGUGGAAUUCCGAGUGUAGAGGUGAAAUUCGUAGAUAUUCGGAGGAACACCAGUGGCGAAGGCGGCUCACUGGCUCCAUACUGACGCUGAGGUGCGAAAGCGUGGGGAGCAAACAGGAUUAGAUACCCUUGUAGUCCC